CGAACGCUGGCGGCGUGCUUAACACAUGCAAGUCGAACGAUGAAGUGGAGCUUGCUCCACGGAUUAGUGGCGAACGGGUGAGGAACACGUGAGAAACCUGCCUCGGAUUUUGGGAUAACAAAUGGAAACGUUUGCUAAUACCAAAUAACGUCGGAGAGUCACAUGACUUUCUGACGAAAGGAAUUCCGAUUCGAGAGGGUCUCGCGGCCUAUCAGCUUGUUGGCGGGGUAAUGGCCCACCAAGGCAACGACGGGUAGCUGGUCUGAGAGGAUGGUCAGCCACACUGGGACUGAGACACGGCCCAGACUCCUACGGGAGGCAGCAGUGGGGAAUCUUGCGCAAUGGGCGAAAGCCUGACGCAGCAACGCCGCGUGCGGGAAGAAGGCUUUCGGGCUGUAAACCGCUUUCAGCAGGAACGAAAAUGACGGUACCUGCAGAAGAAGGAGCGGCCAACUAUGCGCCAGCAGCCGCGGUAAUCUGAUGGCG
This 486-nucleotide ribosomal RNA is filed under the name uncultured bacterium. RNAcentral describes it as "bacterial SSU rRNA". It matches the Rfam family "Bacterial small subunit ribosomal RNA", at positions 30 to 533 of the family's 1533-position model. The record is from RNAcentral.